CACGUAGUUAGCCGGCGCUUCUUCUGCAGGUACCGUCACUUUCGCUUCUUCCCUACUGAAAGAGGUUUACAACCCGAAGGCCGUCAUCCCCCACGCGGCGUCGCUGCAUCAGGCUUUCGCCCAUUGUGCAAUAUUCCCCA
RNAcentral lists this ribosomal RNA (140 nucleotides) under uncultured Actinomycetes bacterium. RNAcentral describes it as "uncultured actinobacterium partial 16S ribosomal RNA". The record is from RNAcentral. Lineage: Bacteria; Bacillati; Actinomycetota; Actinomycetes.